RNAcentral lists this non-coding RNA (21 nucleotides) under Caenorhabditis elegans. The record is from RNAcentral. Lineage: Eukaryota; Metazoa; Nematoda; Chromadorea; Rhabditida; Rhabditidae.
UGAGAACUAUUUUUCCGUUCC